CACGUAGGGCGCAAGCGUUGUCCGGAAUUAUUGGGCGUAAAGAGCUCGUAGGUGGUCUGUUGCGUCCGCUGUGAAAACUCGGGGCUUAACCCCGAGCCUGCAGUGGAUACGGGCAGACUAGAGGUAGGUAGGGGAGAAUGGAAUUCCUGGUGUAGCGGUGAAAUGCGCAGAUAUCAGGAGGAACACCGGUGGCGAAGGCGGAUCUCUGGGCCUGUCCUGACGCUCAGGCGCGAAAGCUAGGGGAGCAAACAGG
RNAcentral lists this ribosomal RNA (253 nucleotides) under uncultured bacterium. RNAcentral describes it as "partial 16S ribosomal RNA". It matches the Rfam family "Bacterial small subunit ribosomal RNA", at positions 524 to 776 of the family's 1533-position model. The record is from RNAcentral.